This 578-nucleotide ribosomal RNA is filed under the name uncultured bacterium. Its description in RNAcentral is "partial 16S ribosomal RNA". It matches the Rfam family "Bacterial small subunit ribosomal RNA", at positions 355 to 923 of the family's 1533-position model. The record is from RNAcentral.
UGGGGAAUUUUGGACAAUGGGCGAAAGCCUGAUCCAGCAAUGCCGCGUGUGUGAAGAAGGCCUUCGGGUUGUAAAGCACUUUUGUCCGGAAAGAAAUCCUUGGCUCUAAUACAGUCGGGGGAUGACGGUACCGGAAGAAUAAGCACCGGCUAACUACGUGCCAGCAGCCGCGGUAAUACGUAGGGUGCAAGCGUUAUCGGAAUUACUGGGCGUAAAGCGUGCGCAGGCGGUUUGCUAAGACCGAUGUGAAAUCCCCGGGCUCAACCUGGGAACUGCAUUGGUGACUGGCAGGCUAGAGUAUGGCAGAGGGGGGUAGAAUUCCACGUGUGGCAGUGAAAUGCGUAGAGAUGUGGAGGAAUACCGAUGGCGAAGGCAGCCCCCUGGGCCAAUACUGACGCUCAUGCACGAAAAGCGUGGGGAGCAAAACAGGAUUCAGAUACCCUGGUAGUCCACGCCCUAAACGAUGUCAACUAGUUGUUGGGGACUUCAUUUCCUUAGUAACGUAGCUAACGCGUGAAGUUGACCGCCUGGGGAGUACGGUCGCAAGAUUAAAACUCAAAUGAAUUGACGGGGUCAUA